Molecule: ribosomal RNA, 588 nt
Filed under: Aspergillus niger
Lineage: Eukaryota; Fungi; Ascomycota; Eurotiomycetes; Eurotiales; Aspergillaceae
Description: eukaryotic LSU rRNA
Rfam family: Eukaryotic large subunit ribosomal RNA
Source: RNAcentral
GGUUGACCUCGGAUCAGGUAGGGAUACCCGCUGAACUUAAGCAUAUCAAUAAGCGGAGGAAAAGAAACCAACCGGGAUUGCCUCAGUAACGGCGAGUGAAGCGGCAAGAGCUCAAAUUUGAAAGCUGGCUCCUUCGGAGUCCGCAUUGUAAUUUGCAGAGGAUGCUUUGGGUGCGGCCCCCGUCUAAGUGCCCUGGAACGGGCCGUCAGAGAGGGUGAGAAUCCCGUCUUGGGCGGGGUGUCCGUGCCCGUGUAAAGCUCCUUCGACGAGUCGAGUUGUUUGGGAAUGCAGCUCUAAAUGGGUGGUAAAUUUCAUCUAAAGCUAAAUACUGGCCGGAGACCGAUAGCGCACAAGUAGAGUGAUCGAAAGAUGAAAAGCACUUUGAAAAGAGAGUUAAACAGCACGUGAAAUUGUUGAAAGGGAAGCGCUUGCGACCAGACUCGCCCGCGGGGUUCAGCCGGCAUUCGUGCCGGUGUACUUCCCCGUGGGCGGGCCAGCGUCGGUUUGGGCGGCCGGUCAAAGGCCCCUGGAAUGUAGUGCCCUCCGGGGCACCUUAUAGCCAGGGGUGCAAUGCGGCCAGCCUGGACC